AACAAGGGCCUAACUGUCUCCUUUUUCAAGUCAGUGAAUUGAUCUCCCCGUGCAGAAGCGGGAAUAAGAACAUAAGACGAGAAGACCCUAUGGAGCUUUAGACACCAAAACAGACUUUGUUAAACACCCCCCAACACGAGACAAAACCAAAAAGACCCUGUUCUGAUGUCUUUGGUUGGGGCGACCGCGGGGAAUACAAAUCCCCCAUGUGGAUUGGGAGACCCUCUCCUACAGCCAAGAGCUACAGCUCUAAGCAAUAGAACUUCUAACCUAAAGAUCCGGCAAAGCCGAUCAACGAACCGAGUUACCCUAGGGAUAACAGCGCAGGCGGGGGUCUAGAGCCCAUAUCGACAAGGGGGUUUACGAGAUGUUGGAUCAAGACAUCGUAAUGGUGCAGCCGCUAUUA
Molecule: ribosomal RNA, 406 nt
Filed under: Channa diplogramma (Malabar snakehead)
Lineage: Eukaryota; Metazoa; Chordata; Actinopteri; Anabantiformes; Channidae
Description: partial large subunit ribosomal RNA
Rfam family: Bacterial large subunit ribosomal RNA
Source: RNAcentral